GCCAUAGAAUCAUGGCGAUCAUGGUAUGGAGCAAAAUAACUGCUUCCCCAUGGAGAGAGAUGCUCCAGACAUCCAAAAAGCUGGUAUUUAGCCGUGGCCGAGAAAUGUAGCAGUAGCAAGCACAUGGCAGAGAGCAAGUUGACCACAUGCACUGGAGAGCCCACAUGAUCCGAGGAGCCAAGGGAUUCCGUACAGCCCAAUUAAAACCCCUUUGAUUCAAGAUAUCUAUGAAAGACUUUUCUGAUGUCGACCACGAAGACAAGUAUUCUCACUGAAAAUGGUGGUAGAAAAGAGUGGGGAAUCUACUGUGCAUAGAAAUAUUUCUUAUCCAUAGAUGCAUCAAAGGAUAGUACCGUUUGAAGAUUGGCUUCUCUGUGUUCAGUGCAUACUGAUAUUGAUUUAGCAAAGGUGUACUAACAUAGUUUGAUACUGUUUUAAAUUUGAAGUGCCAAGGAAAGGAUAAUAUUCUAAGGUGAUCAAAUUAGAGAGUGAGAUAGAUGAAGGCUUAGUAGGAAAAAUCUUUGAAGCAGUAGUUUUAUUUUUAUUUUUUUACAUUUAUUUACUGGGAAAAUCCAGCUGGACAUGUGCCCUUUCUCAGUGGAGGCCCGGGGAGAAAAGCUCCAAGUAAUACAUUAGCAUAAAAACAAAUCAGACAAGUAUUAUAUACAUUAAAUCAACAAAAACAUUUGGUGGUAUUAACAGUUGUAAAAAAAAGCUGCGCACAGUAGGCUUAUUUAACAUUAAAAAUCCUAGUCCCAGCAUGAUUUCAAAGGGCCACCAACAAGUUAUAGAUAAUGAUCUUGUGUAUUUUUUCAAAGCAUCAUGGAUUUUGAGAUCUUUGUCAUUGAGCUACAUAUCUCUUUAAAGAAUCUUUCUGGGAUCUUUUCAAAAGUUUUAAUACCAUGUUUGAUCUAAAGUUUUAUCUUUUUUUUUUCAAAUGCCUAGUUGCCCACCUUUAAAGAGAAGCAAAAUGAUAGUGGUAAGUAAUAAUACAUUUAAAAAUGUGGUAGAAGAGACUCCAGUUUACUGCAACACAGUUCCAUAAAAUUUGACUUUAGGUUUCUAAACCAAGGGUAAGGGGGAGUCAAAAAAAUGAGCCUGAGCCACUACGCAGCUUAUGUUACUUUGGUAUUGAUAUUGACAUGAAGCAAUCGGAACCGAAGAAAGCUUGUCUGAAUGUUGGCUAUGCACAGGAGUGCUUUAUAUCAUAUCAUAAAAGAGCCAUGCCCAGUGCCUUUGUAGGGGAUACUAGACUGCUAAUAAAAUUCUGGUCAGAAAGAAAAGAUAGGUGGGAUACAACCCUAACUGUCAUAAUUUUAUGAAUCACCCCCAAAUAAUACACAGCCAUCCACUUGACAGUAAACUAGUGGCAAAAGAUGUGCAUGUAGGAUACUAGACCUUUAUACUGUCCUCCAUAACUGGGACAAGAAUAGAACUACACUGUCUUUUAAAAUCUUGAACCUUGCAGAGGUAAAACUGAGAUUUCAAGGUUUGGAGAUAUGCUCUUACCUUAGAGGUACCAUCAUCCCCAGUCUUCCAGGAGUGUGAAUAUCAUGAGGUACAUCUGUAACAUCUCUAAUUCUAUUUUAUGAUGACUCUGGGGUAGAAUAAAGGUCCAAAAAGACUGUAUUGGAAAUAAAGAUUCUUUUUUGGUAAGGCUCAGAAUCCACCACCUCCUUUGUGGUUUCCAGUCUGCCAGAUGCCAGUAAGCAUGAAACAGCAGUAGGGAAUAAAGUGGUGACCACAUGGACCCUCACAGAGAAUCUGCCUGUCAUGUCAUGAGAGUCCAAACAUGGGUUAAGUCUUCAUCCAAAGUACUCAACAUCUGCUCUCUUGUUUAGGAAGGAGCUCCGACUCCACAUGCUCUUUGAGCAGAAAGAACUAUGACAGUAAAUGCUUCAGAAUGUACUUAUCUACAGGCAGAGGCUUGGCAAACAGCUGAACUAACAAUUCAAGAACAGCUCCUUUUUCCAGUGGCUUCUUAAGGUCAGCUGAUCUAGGUAAUUACUGUAUACACCAGAAAAAUGCAAAGAAUUGACAUCCUUCAGUUGGCCCUGACAGGCACUCAAGACUGGCAUGAGACCACCUGUGAAGUGAACCUUUUGAAUAUUUUGCAUGGGAGCCAGCUGAAUCAUUUCUAGUGAUCUCUGUGACAGCUGGAGCUUGUUUCCCCUAAGGCAAAGGCCUGUAUAAAAAUGCCGGGGUUGGGGAAGACUGUAUGCUUCUAUAACAACUGAGAUUGCUUUAACCAUUUUUUCUGGAGAUCUAUGAUUCCAGAAAGAGAACAUCCCUUGAAAUGGCAAAGUAGACAGCCUGACAGUGUUCCUCAUUAAACGAGGAUAUUCAUAAUCAAAGUCAUUCUGUAUAAACAAGUAACUGCAGCAGUCGUCGUAGCCACUGCAUCAGUGCAGAGAGCCCACCUCCAAGAAUAUACGCCAUGGACUCUCUGGCAUCUAAUUCAGACAGAUUGCACACACCAUGAGCCACAAGGAAUGACAGAAAUCAAGUUGGAUGGCUAGAUUAAGGUCUAAAUUCAGAACAGAACACUCAGCCAACAUUUUCCAUGGUUUGAACUUUCCAUAUCAGAAGGGUGGCCAGAUGCUGAAGUUACUGAGUCCAGUUUUUGCAGAAAAUUUAGGAGCUAUGAAUUCAGCCCUAGGAUUCUUAGAAGGUGAGACUACUUUGUGGAGACACAAUAAAACUGUCAGUCUUCUUGUGGCGGAGAUAGAAUAUGGAGGAUUAAGGUUGCAAAUAAAACAUUUGUAUGAACAACCUUUACAUGAAAGUGCAAUCUGUGGCUUCUUCCUCACCCAGAUAGGGACUAGUCCAAUAAUGGCCUUAGGAAAUGCAAGCUCUUUCCAAAGGAAGGCUAAUCUGGGGACAGAAAGCAGCAGAGGAAGACUUACUAUCUCUGUUUAUUAGAAAUAAGUCCCCUGCUAUGAAAAAAGGAGAGAGAGGCUAGCACUGACUAGCCUCUAAGGAGGCAAAUGCUGGUAGAGUGCUAGAUGCAUGCAUUGGAA
Molecule: long non-coding RNA, 3020 nt
Organism: Protopterus annectens (West African lungfish)
Lineage: Eukaryota; Metazoa; Chordata; Ceratodontiformes; Protopteridae
Exons: 3
Source: RefSeq, a predicted model, not a curated record